CAGCAGCCGCGGUAAUACGGAGGGUGCAAGCGUUAAUCGGAAUUACUGGGCGUAAAGCGUGCGUAGGCGGUUCGUUAAGUCUGUUGUGAAAGCCCCGGGCUCAACCUGGGAAUGGCAAUGGAUACUGGCGAGCUAGAGUGUGUCAGAGGAUGGUGGAAUUCCCGGUGUAGCGGUGAAAUGCGUAGAGAUCGGGAGGAACAUCAGUGGCGAAGGCGGCCAUCUGGGGCAACACUGACGCUGAGGCACGAAAGCGUGGGGAGCAAACAGGAUUAGAUACCCGUGUAGUCCCUGUCUCUUAUAC
Molecule: ribosomal RNA, 301 nt
Filed under: uncultured bacterium
Lineage: Bacteria
Description: partial 16S ribosomal RNA
Rfam family: Bacterial small subunit ribosomal RNA
Source: RNAcentral